UACAGAGGAUGCGAGCGUUAAUCGGAAUUACUGGGCGUAAAGCGUGCGUAGACGGUUAUUUAAGUCGGAUGUGAAAGCCCCGGGCUCAACCUGGGAAUUGCAUUCGAGACUGAAUAGCUAGGGUGCGGUAGAGGGAAGCGGAAUUUCCGGUGUAGCGGUGAAAUGCGUAGAUAUCGGAAGGAACAUCAGUGGCGAAAGCGGCUUCCUGGACCAGCACCGACGUUCAGGCACGAAAGCGUGGGGAGCAAACAGG
This 253-nucleotide ribosomal RNA is filed under the name uncultured bacterium. Its description in RNAcentral is "partial 16S ribosomal RNA". It matches the Rfam family "Bacterial small subunit ribosomal RNA", at positions 524 to 776 of the family's 1533-position model. The record is from RNAcentral.